UACGGAGGGUGCGAGCGUUGAUCGGAAUCAUUGGGCGUAAAGGGCGCGUAGGCGGUUUGUUAAGUCUGAUGUGAAAUCCCCGGGCUUAACCUGGGAAUUGCAUUUCAAACUGGCCGACUAGAGUACGGUAGAGGGAGGUAGAAUUUCCUGUGUAGCGGUGAAAUGCGUAGAUAUAGGAAGGAAUACCAGUGGCGAAGGCGGCCUCCUGGAUCGAUACUGACGCUGAGGCGCGAAAGCGUGGGGAGCAAACAGG
This 253-nucleotide ribosomal RNA is filed under the name uncultured bacterium. RNAcentral's name for it is "partial 16S ribosomal RNA". It matches the Rfam family "Bacterial small subunit ribosomal RNA", at positions 524 to 776 of the family's 1533-position model. The record is from RNAcentral.